AACUUUUAGCAACGGAUCACUUGGCUCUCGCAUCGAUGAAGAACGCAGCGAAAUGCGAUAAGUAAUGUGAAUUGCAGAAUUCAGGGAAUCAUCGAAUCUUUGAACGCACCUUGCGCUCCUUGGUAUUCCGAGGAGCAUGCCUGUUUGAGUGUCAUUAAAUUCUCAACCUUAUCAGUUUAUUUCUGAUAGUGGCUUGGAUGUGGGGGUUUUCUUGCUGGCUGAGGUCAGCUCCCCUUAAAUGCAUUAGCUGGUGCCCCGUGUGGACUGUCUAUUGGUGUGAUAAUUAUCUACGCCAUGGAUGUCUGCAAUCAUAAGGGUUUAGCACUGCUUCUAACCGUCUGUUAAUUCGGACAAUACAUGACAAUUUGACCUCAAAUCAGGUAGGACUACCCGCUGAACUUAAGCAUAUCAAUAAGCGGAGGCU
Molecule: unclassified non-coding RNA, 424 nt
Filed under: uncultured Agaricales
Lineage: Eukaryota; Fungi; Basidiomycota; Agaricomycetes; Agaricales
Description: sequence contains ITS2
Rfam family: 5.8S ribosomal RNA (bases 1-154)
Source: RNAcentral